CACAUUUAUCAGUGAUUGCAAUAAUAUCGAACAAAAGGAAUGUGGUCCAUGCUGUUCCUAAAGAAAAAAGAAACAAAAAAGAAUGAAAAGGAUAAACGGGUAUAUUCCACGUAUUCGACGAUUUGUUUUUCUAAUUAAAUUAUCAAUUAUCUCUUAUUCUUUAUUCACAAAGGUUUUAUGUACUGUUGUCUUGUUGAUGUUGCGUUCUGUACGUUUUUCCAUUUACAAAAUUUCCCGUAAUUUGUAUAAAAAUCCACAGUCUAUAAUUAGUAUUUGUGUAAUUAUCAAAAUGUUUUCGCUCACGUGUCUCAUCCUAUACGUUAACUUCGUGUAUUGAUAAUGUUCGACUAUUUCUCGUCUUCCACCUAACAGUAUACUUCUUCGUUCUACUUCUGAUAAAACAUGUGUAUUUCUACGUGUCAGAAUGAUUCGUGUGGGGCCAAAUUUUGUACUCGAGAAUCGAAGUAAGUGCUCGAAAUAAAGAUACUAGAAAGAUUUGGAAGAUCCAAGCACAUAAUACGUGGAAUAUAAGGCAGCCUGGAAGAAACGUAAAACAGAGGGUGAAAAAGGUACCGUAUGAUAAUCGAAAGCGAUAAAACAUCGAACACAUACGGAGAUUAUGCACUGCGGCACAGUGAGGCUGCAGUCCCGAUAAAGGACAAUAACUACGGAGAAAAAUGAUAAAUACCGAAGAAAAGAAGAAAAAGAAAACGAAUCGUGAUUCUUAUCGAUAUCUAUUAUCGUAGUGCUACAUAUAAUAAUCGAAAUAAGGAGUAAGGAAACGAAACGAUCUACUAAUCACUACGAGAAUGAUCGAAUGGACUCUUUCAAACUCGCCACAUUGAUUUAGAAAAUCGACCAUUUCAGAAAUUCGUUAAAUUCAACGAAUAUUAAGUUUUAAUCCUUUCUCCAGUAAAUUAGCUUCUAGAAAAAUUCUAAUACUUAGCAGUGCCCAUCUACUGAUACUAUUGUUAGCUUCGUUGCCGAAUGUGAAAGCUAAGAGUAUGAGGUUCUACUUAAUCACUGAUGUAUACGUUACUAUUCUAUUGUUGCAGUAGAAAGAUAAGACGUUUGAUAGAAAAUAUUGGAGAAAGGCUUAAAUUGCAUCAAAAAUGAAUAGAGGAAAUUUCUUUCCUUAGAAUAUCUCCCAAUUUAUUUUCGAGCUGCGUUG
This 1171-nucleotide unclassified non-coding RNA is filed under the name Bombus terrestris (buff-tailed bumblebee). RNAcentral describes it as "misc RNA ENSBTSG00005024587.1". Lineage: Eukaryota; Metazoa; Arthropoda; Insecta; Hymenoptera; Apidae. The record is from RNAcentral.